This is a long non-coding RNA of Peromyscus leucopus (white-footed mouse), 1614 nucleotides long. RefSeq lists it as uncharacterized. The transcript has 3 exons. The record is from RefSeq and is a predicted model, not a curated record. Lineage: Eukaryota; Metazoa; Chordata; Mammalia; Rodentia; Cricetidae.
CUCCGCUGGGUCUGUGUGCUUGAUGAGGUUCCCGCCAUGCUGCUUGAACUGCUCCAAUAAACCUUGCUUUUUCAUUUCGGUCACUUGCUCUACCAUCCAGAAGGACUCCGGAACACAACUUUGUUGAUGUUACACAUUGCACAUGUAGCUAACACCUAUGAACAGCUCGCCAUACGAUAGUCACUAUGCCAUGUGCUCUAUGACAUCUUCCCAACUUCAUCUCUAAACGAUGUUCUGAGAUGGGUUGCAGUCCAUUACUGAAGUGAGCCAGGACAGGAACUCAUGUAGAACGGAAGCGAAGAUCAUGGAGGAAUGCUGCCUACCUAGGGCUUGAUUUCUGGUUUUCUGCUCAACCAGCCAUAUAUAUAGACAUAGACGAUAUAGCUAGAGUUCAGGACCACCUUCCCAGAAGGAGCAUCACCCACAGUGGGCUGGGCCCUCCCACAUCAUCCAUUUAUCCUGCCACAAGCCAAUCUGAUCUGGACAAUCUCCCAAUUGAGACUCCUUCAAAUGACUCUGGGUUGUGUCAAGUUGAUAGCUGUAUUUAACUACGACAAGCUCUGAUGAUAGACUACAUCUGCACAUACCCAUAGUCAUGCAUAGACACAUAAUUUUAAAUAAUAAUAAUUUUAAAAUCCUUUUUUUAAAAAAAGAUUACUUUCAGGCCUCUUUAUAUGCCUUAAUGGACUGCUUAAUGCUUUAUGCCCCCCAAAUCCUUUGGAUAUUAUGGCCUCCUGUUGUAAGCCAUACUCAACUCGUUCAUUCAUUCAACAUGUAGUUUUGGGAGCUUAUACCAUGGAAGCAGUAAGUCUUGGGGGUGAUAGAUAAUUAAUGGUGAGCAAAGCAGAAGAAACUUAGAGUUGAGGCAGGAAAGGAAACAAGCAAGAGUAACACGGUAUUAAAAUACUGCGACAGCAGUCCUGGAUUCCAGUAGCUCACCCACGCUCGAGCUAGAGAUGGCAUCCACAUGCACGCAUAAAGGAGAAGUCAGACUUCACCAGAUGACAAGAAGAUGUUGACAGCAAGAGGUGGAGAGACAAGGUCUUAGGCAGAAACUUGGAAGAUAAAAGUACAAAGGAAAACAGAGAAGAGUGGGGUCGGGCCACAGUGUGAGAGAAUAGGUGUGAUGAGAGAUGAGGGGAAGAGAAAGAUUGAGUCAGAGGAGCCAAGGUGCCCAGAGGUGGAGUCACUAAAGAACUGAGGAGUGUCUGUGGGGUUUUGUGACAUGAGAGUAGGAGUAAUCUCAGGGAAGUCAUGAAGAAUGACAAUAGAUGUGAUGGGUUGAUGGCUACAUAAUAGAUGAUGGGUAAGUGGGUGGGAGGAGAGAGAAUAAAGGUAUAGGAUGAAAUAUGAGUGAAGGAAGGAUUAUAAGGGCGAUUAUGUGGGUGUAGAACUACACAUCUGUACGUGUAUAGAUCCUGAAUGCUAUCAAGGUAUGUGUGUGUAUGUAUGUGUAUGUAUAUGAAUUAUUAUUUCCUUUUCAACAUUGGUCCCAGCAUACCCAGUCCCUAAUCUCCCUUAUAGACAUAAAUAAUUACUUAUGGUUUCUAUAUUUAUUAUCCUUCUAAAGUUUCUUAUAGCAUGCAUAAGAAUGUACGUAUAUUUCUCCCUAUU